RNAcentral lists this long non-coding RNA (533 nucleotides) under Gallus gallus (chicken). RNAcentral's name for it is "lncRNA (ENSGALG00010025198.1)". Lineage: Eukaryota; Metazoa; Chordata; Aves; Galliformes; Phasianidae. The record is from RNAcentral.
CUCUAUUUCUUAAUCAUUGGUUUGCUAAAAUGGUGUGUGAUACCAAACAGAGGAAGCUGAGCACCCGCAGUAAGAUGGUAGCACUAUUUGCAUUUCCUUGUGAGUAAACAAAUUUUGAUUAUAAGGCAGAUUAAUUAGUAUAUGUAUGUAAGUGUAACAAAACAACUUUUCACCAUCAAGUAUUUUCUGGUCUUUCUUUUUGCUGCACAGAUGCUGACCCAAGGGGAUAAAACUAGAAGGCUAAUGAUCUUGGAGAGGCUGGAGAUGUGGGAGAUUUGACUUGUGACGUAACUGUACCUGUGAUGAGUAUUUUGAGUUAAUCUUAGGCACAUAAUACUCCAGAGCUUCAAAAUCAGAAGUAAAAUCAUUUGGACAGUUGCCACCUGCCCUCCUAAAUAGGCUUUCCAGCCACUGUUCCUCAAUCCUGUCUGGCUGUGUGGGGUUGAAUGUCAUGGAACUGGACUUGGCUCAUCCAACUAGCCAAUCCAGGUUACUCUGCAAAGCCUUCCUAACUUCAAGUAGAUUGACAGCCC